Molecule: ribosomal RNA, 328 nt
Filed under: uncultured eukaryote
Lineage: Eukaryota
Description: partial 18S ribosomal RNA
Rfam family: Eukaryotic small subunit ribosomal RNA
Source: RNAcentral
CCCUUAGAUGUUCUGGGCUGCACGCGCGCUACACUGAUACUUUCAGCGAGUCCACCACCUUGCCUGAGAGGGUGGGGUAACCUCUGGAAAGUGUAUCGUGAUGGGGAUCGAUUAUUGUAAUUAUUAAUCUUCAACGAGGAAUUCCUAGUAAGCAUGUGUCAUCAGCCCGUGCUGAUUACGUCCCUGCCCUUUGUACACACCGCCCGUCGCUCCUACCGAUUGAGUGAUCCGGUGAGGCUUUGGGAUCUGAGCGGAAAGAGCGUUUCGCUGUUUCUGCUCGGAAAACUCAGUCGAACCUUAUCAUUUAGAGGAAGGAGAAGUCGUAACA